RNAcentral lists this long non-coding RNA (237 nucleotides) under Gossypium barbadense (sea-island cotton). RNAcentral's name for it is "long non-coding RNA (GBAR_LNC001922)". The record is from RNAcentral. Lineage: Eukaryota; Viridiplantae; Streptophyta; Magnoliopsida; Malvales; Malvaceae.
AAAAUCAUUAUAGAAAGAAUAGUUCAAAGCUUUGUCAUUGUUUUAGAAAAUUUGGAGCCGACUUUUGGGAGAUUUAAACAGUAGAAGUCAACGAGAAGGAGAAAAUCUCUUAUUUGGUGUCGAAAUCGGCACGAAUGACUAUCGUAAACGACGACAUCGAAGCCUAUUGAGUACAACAGCUAGGGUAUUCAAUUGAGAAGAAUAAGGGAGAGAAAUAAAUUAAAAUAUAAUAAAAAA